GGAGGGGUUCCCGAGUGGCCAAAGGGAACAGACUGUAAAUCUGUCGGCGUCAGCCUUCGGAGGUUCAAAUCCUCCCCCCUCCACCA
RNAcentral lists this transfer RNA (86 nucleotides) under Desulfolutivibrio sulfodismutans. RNAcentral's name for it is "tRNA-Tyr". It matches the Rfam family "tRNA". From Rfam's summary of the family: Transfer RNA (tRNA) molecules are approximately 80 nucleotides in length. Lineage: Bacteria; Pseudomonadati; Thermodesulfobacteriota; Desulfovibrionia; Desulfovibrionales; Desulfovibrionaceae. RNAcentral also lists the same sequence under 4 other names. The record is from RNAcentral.